CGUGUGGGUGUUUUAGUCUAACUGGACUACUAAAGAGUUGGAGUAGAAUUUGAAUUAGGUGGUUGAGGGAGGGGUAGACGGUUUUUGGGGAGUGGAUUGAGGGAUUUAGGGAGAAAAGUAAAGAGUGGAGGCGUUUGAGUUGGAGUGGGAUGCUGAAUGGUUGGAAUGGAUGUGGUUUAGUGGAGUAAAUCAAGGAGUUUGGGGAGUUACCCUUUGAUUUCAAAAAUCUCUGUAGAACUCUCCUCUAUCAUAUUUCAUUUUUAUUUUUUAUUUUUUCUGCCUCCAUAGUCAAAUUCCGUCCCUUUCUUCCUCACCGUCUUUUUGUUUUCUUUGGACUUCAAUCUUCCUGUGUUGCUUCUGAGAUUUCGAGUGCUUUCCCUCUACUUGCCGAAUUUUUC
Molecule: long non-coding RNA, 398 nt
Filed under: Gossypium raimondii (Peruvian cotton)
Lineage: Eukaryota; Viridiplantae; Streptophyta; Magnoliopsida; Malvales; Malvaceae
Description: long non-coding RNA (GRAI_LNC003850)
Source: RNAcentral